Molecule: unclassified non-coding RNA, 221 nt
Filed under: Hevea brasiliensis (rubber tree)
Lineage: Eukaryota; Viridiplantae; Streptophyta; Magnoliopsida; Malpighiales; Euphorbiaceae
Source: RNAcentral
GGUCAACAUCUCUCAAUGGCGUAAAGGGGCUCAGUGGUUCGAAGUGAACCGGGAAGUUGCAAUCCAAAUCAUUACAGACACCAAGUACUACUCGAAGUUCGAUCAGUUCUGCAAGCCAGCAUGCUAUGUAGACGAGCAUUACUUCCCCACCAUGCUCAGUAUGAAAUUGCCUCAUCUUAUAGCAAACAGGACUAUUACUUGGGUAGACUGGUCGAGGGGCG